AGAGUUUGAUCCUGGCUCAGAACGAACGCUGGCGGCAGGCCUCAAACAUGCAAGUCGAGCGCCCAGCAAUGGGAGCGGCGGACGGGUGCGUAACACGUGGGAACGUACCCUUUGGUUCGGAACAACGCAGGGAAACUUGCGCUAAUACCGGAUGACCCGGAAACGGAAAAGAUUUAUCGCCAAAGGAUCGGCCCGCGUUC
Molecule: ribosomal RNA, 200 nt
Filed under: uncultured bacterium
Lineage: Bacteria
Description: partial 16S ribosomal RNA
Rfam family: Bacterial small subunit ribosomal RNA
Source: RNAcentral